AUGUGACCCUCCAAAGCAAGAAACUUGAGGGCAUGGGUCAUCCCAGCCCUGGCAUCUGCCCAGAGCCGGAGAAGGAAGGAACAAUGAUCCUCCAGCUACCUCACAGGGCUGGCACAGGUGGCCACUGCCCUGGGAUCACCCAGCUGUGUCCGGCAGCCUGAACCCCAUCUGCGGGGAUGUGAGGAGGAAAAUACAAAAGUCUUUAGGUGAGCACUGAGAAGGCAGAUGCAGCAGAAACCUCCAGGCCGUAACUACCCAGUCUUGGACCUAUGGUGGAGACAGAGCAUAGCUGGCGAUCGUGUGUACUUAUACUCUAGGGUCACCAGGCUGCACUAUGGCCUCAUCUGUGGCUCUGAAAAUGAAGAUUUGGAAGGAGAUCAUCACAGCUAAUGUUUAACAAGCCCCUCCUAUGUGCCAAAUCAUUCACCCCUCGCAACAACCGAAAGAGCUAAGGAUUCUCAUUAUAUAUAGUUUAUGGAGAAGGAAGUGCAGACAUAAAGAGGUGAAUUAUCUUACCCAGGUCACACAGCUAAUAAGUGGUGGAGGCAGAAUAGAAUCUAAACAGUGUGGCUCCGGAGCCCACAUGCAUUGAUUUGACAAGUGUUUAUUGAGCACCUGCCAUGGACAAGGCCUUGUGUGAUUAAAUAGGGCUAUAAUUAAUAAUAUAAAAAUGACAAGUCACUAAUGCUUUUUAGACUUAACAUUUUCUUUUUUUGUAGGUUUCAGGCACAGAACUGUAUAUCCAAUAAUAGUGAAAUGGAUCCCACUAAUUAUGACAGAAAUGAUGAUACAUUUAAAUGACUUGGAUGUUUUAUAGGUUGGCACUCAUCAUGAGCCCCUGUUCUCAUUCUGCAGAUGGUGAAGCUCUCUAUUGUCCUGACCCCACAGUUCCUGUCCCAUGACCAGGACCAGCUCACCAAGGAGCUGUAGCAGCACGUAAAGUCAGUGACAUGCCCAUGCGAGUACCUGAGGAAGGUUAUCCAUUCUCUGCAUGACCAUUUUCAUCCUGGGACUGACUUUUGUGGAAUUCCGUGGAUAGUUAUCAUUAUUGUGUUUCUGGGAAUUUCUACACUUGCCAUUUUCCUCUGGAAAACUAAUCUUUGUGUGUCUUUCCUCAAGACUGUCUUAAAGUCACGAAAUGUACAUGACAGAUCCACGGAUGUACAGCGGAGAGCCUGGAGGUCCAAUAGCCGUAGCCAGGAAGGGCAAAGGUCCACUCGUAUGCACACAAAGAAAAGGGUUUCUUCCUUUCGGGAAUUAAAAUUGGCAUGGAAGACCUCUAUACUUCACGGAGAUAUAUGGAAGCCAAAGUUCGAACUGAAGUCCAUAAGGUGACGACGAAGGUCAACAGUCAUUACAAAAUCAGUGGACAGAGGAAGACUCCCAAGGAAGAGUAAGAUGUGCCUUGACACAAAUACUGUUGUAUGAAUCAUGUGCCCAUCAAAGUAGACAACUGUAAAGUCCUUGAGAAUAUUUUCUAUAAUAUUUGUGGCAAAUUCAGUGGGAUCAAAAUUGAGUUUGUCCUUUCUGCUUGAU
Molecule: RNA transcript, 1536 nt
Organism: Nomascus leucogenys (northern white-cheeked gibbon)
Lineage: Eukaryota; Metazoa; Chordata; Mammalia; Primates; Hylobatidae
Gene name: nuclear pore complex-interacting protein family member B3-like
Exons: 5
Source: RefSeq, a predicted model, not a curated record